Molecule: ribosomal RNA, 1310 nt
Filed under: Campylobacter upsaliensis
Lineage: Bacteria; Pseudomonadati; Campylobacterota; Epsilonproteobacteria; Campylobacterales; Campylobacteraceae
Description: partial 23S ribosomal RNA
Rfam family: Bacterial large subunit ribosomal RNA
Source: RNAcentral
AAGUUUCUAAGUUUAGCUAAUGUUGCCCGUACCGUAAACCGACACAGGUGGGUGGGAUGAGUAUUCUAAGGCGCGUGGAAGAACUCUCUUUAAGGAACUCUGCAAAAUAGCACCGUAUCUUCGGUAUAAGGUGUGCCUCCCUUUGUAUUAGAAUUCACUUCGAAAGCAAAGAAGGUUACAACAAAGAGUCCCUCCCGACUGUUUACCAAAAACACAGCACUCUGCUAACUCGUAAGAGGAUGUAUAGGGUGUGACGCCUGCCCGGUGCUCGAAGGUUAAUUGAUGGGGUUAGCAUUAGCGAAGCUCUUGAUCGAAGCCCGAGUAAACGGCGGCCGUAACUAUAACGGUCCUAAGGUAGCGAAAUUCCUUGUCGGUUAAAUACCGACCUGCAUGAAUGGCGUAACGAGAUGGGAGCUGUCUCAAAGAGGGAUCCAGUGAAAUUGUAGUGGAGGUGAAAAUUCCUCCUACCCGCGGCAAGACGGAAAGACCCCGUGGACCUUUACUACAGCUUGACACUGCUAUUUGGAUAAGAAUGUGCAGGAUAGGUGGGAGGCUUUGAGUAUAUGACGCCAGUUGUAUAUGAGCCAUUGUUGAGAUACCACUCUUUCUUAUUUGGGUAGCUAACCAGCUUGAGUUAUCCUCAAGUGGGACAAUGUCUGGUGGGUAGUUUGACUGGGGCGGUCGCCUCCCAAAUAAUAACGGAGGCUUACAAAGGUUGGCUCAUAGCGGUUGGAAAUCGCUAGUAGAGUAUAAAGGUAUAAGCCAGCUUAACUGCAAGACAUACAAGUCAAGCAGAGACGAAAGUCGGUCUUAGUGAUCCGGUGGUUCUGUGUGGAAGGGCCAUCGCUCAAAGGAUAAAAGGUACCCCGGGGAUAACAGGCUGAUCUCCCCCAAGAGCUCACAUCGACGGGGAGGUUUGGCACCUCGAUGUCGGCUCAUCGCAUCCUGGGGCUGGAGCAGGUCCCAAGGGUAUGGCUGUUCGCCAUUUAAAGCGGUACGCGAGCUGGGUUCAGAACGUCGUGAGACAGUUCGGUCCCUAUCUGCCGUGGGCGUAAGAAGAUUGAAGAGAUUUGACCCUAGUACGAGAGGACCGGGUUGAACAAACCACUGGUGUAGCUGUUGUUCUGCCAAGAGCAUCGCAGCGUAGCUAAGUUUGGAAAGGAUAAACGCUGAAAGCAUCUAAGCGUGAAGCCAACUCUAAGAUGAAUCUUCUCUAAGCUCUCUAGAAGACUACUAGUUUGAUAGGCUGGGUGUGUAAUGGAUGAAAGUCCUUUAGCUGACCAGUACUAAUAGAGCGUUUGGCUUAUCUU